Long non-coding RNA from Hippocampus zosterae (dwarf seahorse), 3012 nucleotides. RefSeq lists it as uncharacterized. The transcript is spliced from 8 exons. NCBI's taxonomy places the organism in Eukaryota, Metazoa, Chordata, Actinopteri, Syngnathiformes, Syngnathidae. The record is from RefSeq and is a predicted model, not a curated record.
GGGCGAUAUGGACCAUUGAGCUCCAAUCUCCAAGAAGAAGAACAAGGACAAUAACAAGAAGGGUACCAUAUCCGGUUCAGCGAGCAAGUUUUUCCGCGGACAACAAGUCGGACUCACAAUCGAAGAGUCGACUGGGCCAAAGGUGCAGCCGACAGACUCUGAGGACAUGCGGAAGGGAGCCCAACCUGCAUUUGAACACAACAGACAAUCAAAGCAGAGGAAAAAGUUGCAAGUUGGAUGGCAGUCUGCUUGACCCUGGGUGGCGAAGUGGUCGGCUCGUGAGUAGAAUGUCGGACAAGUGCGCUGACCUGAGAAGAAAGACAUUUGAGGCCGAUCAUGUUGACUGCUGCCUGAAGGGGGGGGGGGGGGAGUCUAACACUGCGGGAAACAUGCUUGUUGAAAUGAAUUGAGCCUUCUUACCAGCAGAUGGCUCAGUCACAUUUGGCCUCAGACUCCACCUGGAUGACAAAGUACAGAUUAAUUCACUGGAAUCUUUUGCCGCAACACUUGCUCCAGCGACUCAUCCAAGGUGGCCAAACCUGCCAAUGUCACAAAGGCUCGUCAACUCCUUUUUGUACCUUUGAACAGCAACGUUGAAAAUGGAGGCAGCGGUGAGGACCUACUACAAGCUUGUCGCAUUUGUCUCUUUGCCCAGCAGGCAGAGGGUCUGACUUGAAGCUGCACUGCAUGCAGAAUGAAAGAAAAAGCAGGUGAAUCGUGACGCCACGUUUCCCGAGGGCCUGCACCAGCGCCGCCUCCAACCAACAGUUCCAGGACUUCGGAAUUUUGCGACAGGCCCAAACCUUGAGGACGACUCGACUUCACAACGUGGUUCUUCAGCACCACCUGGCGGAUAAGAGCGGGACAAACGCAAUGUUCAGUGUCACUCUCCCGCCCGUUUCCUCCGCUGGUGCAACACCUGAUUUAAAUGAUCAGAUCAUCAGCAAGGUCGUUGAAAGCCGGACAGCAACUAUGAUCUUUUGUCUCCGUAUGCGAGAGAGCAAGAAAGGAGCCCCGCUACCGUUUAAUUUUAGCCACAGCCACCUCUGGAGGUGGUCCUGUGAUUAAACCAAACUUCUCAAAUUUCUGGAUUUGACACCUGUGCUCAAUUAGGUGCUUUUGUAAUUACGAGUACUCACAUGUGCACCUCUAUAGAAGAGUUGGCUUCACUUGUGAAGAGAGCAGAGCUGGACGCUUCGACAGCACGGUGGGCUGAAAGACACGGUAACGUUAACCCUCGACUCUUAAAUAUUCAAACCUUACAAGCGUGUGGCUGGGCACCCCGAUAUUUGGAAGAUCCAAACGCCACAGGAUGGCAGCCAUUUUAAGAGUCAUUCUGUUGAGGUGAGCCUGUGUAGACAGGAGUGAGAAUAGACACAUUUGGGAUUUAGUCUGAUAUGAAUUCAAAAGUGGCAGUUUUACCUUGCAGUCGAUUUGGCCAUUCUGUAGAAGAUGCAAAGCCUGUGGACAGAAAAGAGAUUAGUUGGGCUUGCUCCAAAUGGUUCACAACACGAUUUGAAGAUUUUUACCUGUGAACGGAAAUGGCACAAUUAGUAUGCACACAUGCAUAUUCGGUUUAAUUGUGAAUUUGGAAAUGAGUUUUGUCUACUUACCCUCUCGGCGAAUGUAGCUUUCCUAGGAAGUUGGAGAAAGUGUUUGUUGCAAGGUUGCAGGAGACGUUAAUUGCAAUGCUCGAGCAAACAUUUUUGCUUUGCAUGUCGGCCCGGUGCGAGCACGUUGAACGUGCUGCUUUCCAUUCAAAGUGAGGAAAUGGGAGUGUUUUGAGAGGCUAUUAAAGAGUAAAAAGUCACCUUGUUCGGGUUCUGCGUGAUCUUGUAGACAGGCGUGCGGAGCAGGAGCAGAGUGUAGCCAAGCGCAGGCUGUCAAAAGACAGCAAGAAUGAUUGACUCGUUGUCGCCGUUUAAAUAGGUUUCCGGUGAUUACGUCACUUCCGGUAAAACAUAUUUAAAUAUUAAGCGAAGACCCGGGCUCGAACCGGAGUUCACGAGGGGGGACUCGCAUUCGUAUACCAUUGGGCCAUAGUCUGACAGUUCUAGCCGCUGCUUUUACAUAAAUAUAUGUAACAAAGAACGUCAAUGUGAAGGAAAAAUGAAGGUGUUUAAUGCCAACACCUUUGACCGAACAUGAGUUCACCAGGUGGGACUCACAGUCGUAUACCAUUCAACUAUAGACUGACAGGUACAGCUCCUGCUUUUACAUAUAUAUAAUAGAGAACAUCAAUGUGAAGGUGAAUCAUUAGCUACCUGAAAUGUUUGUUCAGUGACCUUGCAUGGUCUAAUGGAAAACGACGAUACUUGUUACCCGCAAAACCCAUUUUUGAUUCUUGCUUAAUAUAUAAAAUGGACCACAUGGUGGGGCUCGAACUCGGUUCGCCUGACAACCAAGCGAUGUCUUUUACCAUUCGGCUAUUUUGGCGCGAAAAUUUUCAAUUUUUUACAUGUAAUCAUAGGCCGCCAGGCAUAUGAUGUGCAGGAUCAAAAAGCAACAUGUUUGGUUGAAACUCCUGGAGUUAUCGUGGAGUGUUCGCUUUUAGUUCAAACUUCUAACUUUGGUGACAGGAUAUCCGGGUUCGACUCUUGCUAAAUUUAUAAAUGGAGAGCAGACGUUCGAACUCGUUCUGCCUGCCUACACAGGGAUGUAUUUUACCGCCAUGCCAUCCCUGCACGGAAAUUUCGAUUUUUUUAUGUAGUCAAAGGCGGCUGACCACGAGCGGGGGUUUUAAGGUAAAAAACAUUAUUGGUGAGACGGUUGGCGUCUCGCGGGCGAUGUGACGGCACUUCAACCUCACCCGCCACCCCUCGACCACGCCAGUAUUUCCUACCGCUGCCCGCCUCAGAACGCCACCCUGAGAUCAGGAGAGAGAGUUUGCAAAGCCAACUUUGUUUUCGAUUGAAGACGAGUUGCACAAUGAGAUCGUGUCGUUUUGUCAUUGUGCUUUCUUGGCGAUCGUGAAUAAAGUACAAAUAAAACACCCAUACGCACACUUCCAAA